GCAGUCGAGGGGCAGCAGUACUUUUCGGAGUAGCUGGCGACCGGCGCACGGGUGCGUAACGCGUAUGCAAUCUACCUACAGCAGAGGGAUAGCCCGUGGAAACAUGGAUUAAUACCUCAUAAUACAGGGGGCCCACCUGGGCAUAUUGUUAAAGAUUUAUCGGCUGUAGAUGAGCAUGCGUCCCAUUAGCUAGUUGGUACGGUAACGGCGUACCAAGGCGAUGAUGGGUAGGGGUUCUGAGAGGAUGAUCCCCCACACUGGCACUGAGAUACGGGCCAGACUCCUACGGGAGGCAGCAGUGAGGAAUAUUGGACAAUGGGCGCAAGCCUGAUCCAGCCAUGCCGCGUGAGUGACGAAGGUCUUCGGAUUGUAAAGCUCUUUUGCCAGGGACGAUAAUGACGGUACCUGGAGAAUAAGCCCCGGCUAACUUCGUGCCAGCAGCCGCGGUAAUACGAAGGGGGCUAGCGUUGUUCGGAAUUACUGGGCGUAAAGCGCACGUAGGCGGAUUUGUAAGUUAGGGGUGAAAUCCCGGGGCUCAACCUCGGAACUGCCUUUGAAACUGCUUUGCUUGAGUCCGGGAGGGGGGAGCGGAAUUCCCAGUGUAGCGGUGAAAUGCGUAGAUACUGGGAGGAACACCGGUGGCGAAGGCGGCUCCCUGGUCCAGUACUGACACUCAAGUGCGAAAGCGUGGGGAGCAAACAGGAUUAGAUACCCUGGUAGUCCACGCCCUAAACGAUGACGACUAGAUGUCGGGAGGGUCUGCCUUUCGGUGUCGCAGCUAACGCGUUAAGUCGUCCGCCU
This 801-nucleotide ribosomal RNA is filed under the name uncultured bacterium. RNAcentral's name for it is "bacterial SSU rRNA". It matches the Rfam family "Bacterial small subunit ribosomal RNA", at positions 57 to 874 of the family's 1533-position model. The record is from RNAcentral.